AUCGCGGAUCAGCAUGCCGCGGUGAAUACGUUCUCGGGCCUUGUACACACCGCCCGUCACACCAUGGGAGUCGGUAACACCCGAAGUCUGUAGCCUGACGCAAGAGGGCGCAGCCGAAGGUGGGAUUGAUGACUGGGGUGAAGUCGUAACAAGGUAUC
This 158-nucleotide ribosomal RNA is filed under the name uncultured bacterium. Its description in RNAcentral is "partial 16S ribosomal RNA". It matches the Rfam family "Bacterial small subunit ribosomal RNA", at positions 1341 to 1500 of the family's 1533-position model. The record is from RNAcentral.